AAUUUCCUGCAGUGUACGACCCUUACCGAUUACCUAAAGGCCCGGACCGUUGAUACGUUAUUGGGAGCUAAGCGAAUCGUUGGCUGUCACGCCUUCGCUGGAAGGCAAAAGUCGAUGAGCGGCACCCACCCUGUUGAGAGACGGGAACGUGAGCCUCAACAUCGGAGACGGCACAGGUGGGAGUUAU
RNAcentral lists this small RNA (187 nucleotides) under bacterium. Its description in RNAcentral is "6S RNA". The record is from RNAcentral. RNAcentral also lists the same sequence under 1 other name.